This is a long non-coding RNA of Myotis davidii, 122 nucleotides long. RefSeq lists it as uncharacterized. NCBI's taxonomy places the organism in Eukaryota, Metazoa, Chordata, Mammalia, Chiroptera, Vespertilionidae. The record is from RefSeq and is a predicted model, not a curated record. The transcript is spliced from 3 exons.
GACUGGUCACUAUGACACACACUGACAACCAGGGGGCAGACGUUCAAUGCAGGAGCUACCCUCUUGUGGUCAGGGUGCUUUCACAUGGGAGGAGCUUUGCUCCGACACAAGUCAGGCUGGUG